This 360-nucleotide ribosomal RNA is filed under the name uncultured bacterium. RNAcentral's name for it is "bacterial SSU rRNA". It matches the Rfam family "Bacterial small subunit ribosomal RNA", at positions 70 to 422 of the family's 1533-position model. The record is from RNAcentral.
GGAUGGGAGCUUGCUCCCUGACAUUAGCGGCGGACGGGUGAGUAACACGUGGGCAACCUGCCCUGCAGAUGGGGAUAACUCCGGGAAACCGGGGCUAAUACCGAAUAAUCAGUUCCUCCGCAUGGAGGAACUCUGAAAGACGGUUUCGGCUGUCACUGCAGGAUGGGCCCGCGGCGCAUUAGCUAGUUGGUGGGGUAAUGGCCUACCAAGGCGACGAUGCGUAGCCGACCUGAGAGGGUGAUCGGCCACACUGGGACUGAGACACGGCCCAGACUCCUACGGGAGGCAGCAGUAGGGAAUCUUCCACAAUGGACGAAAGUCUGAUGGAGCAACGCCGCGUGAGCGAAGAAGGUUUUCGGA